CACGUAGGUGGCAAGCGUUGUCCGGAUUUAUUGGGUUUAAAGGGUGCGUAGGCGGGUUAUUAAGUCAGUGGUGAAAGCCUUCAGCUUAACUGAAGAACUGCCAUUGAUACUGAUGAUCUUGAGUAUGAUUGAGGUGGGCGGAAUGUGUCAUGUAGCGGUGAAAUGCUUAGAUAUGACACAGAACACCGAUUGCGAAGGCAGCUCACUAAGCCAUAACUGACGCUGAUGCACGAAAGCGUGGGGAGCAAACAGG
Molecule: ribosomal RNA, 253 nt
Filed under: uncultured bacterium
Lineage: Bacteria
Description: partial 16S ribosomal RNA
Rfam family: Bacterial small subunit ribosomal RNA
Source: RNAcentral